GCUUACCAUACCGAAGAACACUUAACUUUUCUUCCUAUUGUCCACUCUCUCAUAUCAAUACAAUAACAUCCACGACAAUAAUUUUAGUACCGUGUAUAAUUCACGAACACACAAGUAUAUCCCAAACCUUGGAACGAACAACUUUCAAUCCACAGAAUCUAAUCAAGUCAAUUCUUUUGAUUACAAUUCUUCUCCACUAAACUUACAACCUUGCGAUAAACAGUGAUUAGAAACUUCCAUAUGUCCUCAAUCUUUCACAACAAUUGAUAAACAGUGAUCCAUAAAUAACUUCGUAAAUCAAACAUUAAUUCAUUAAAUCGAUUCUCUUCACUAGAAUCAACACUAACACAAAAGAAACAAGAAAACUAAGAAGAAGAGAUAGCACCAAGCUUAUCCCCGGCUCAGUACUAUUGUAGUCUAGCAUUUUCUUCCCCUCUCCCAUCCUCCUUAUACUACCCUCACAUACCAACUCCUAUACUACAGAUGAUAACUACUUUUCUUGACUAUUCAUCCAUUCUACCUGCUGAACCACCUUUUUAGCAGUUAUCUAUCCCUGUUUAUACUAUACACUAGGUAUCUACA
Molecule: long non-coding RNA, 582 nt
Filed under: Physcomitrium patens
Lineage: Eukaryota; Viridiplantae; Streptophyta; Bryopsida; Funariales; Funariaceae
Description: long non-coding RNA (PPAT_LNC010481)
Source: RNAcentral